RNAcentral lists this ribosomal RNA (466 nucleotides) under uncultured bacterium. RNAcentral's name for it is "partial 16S ribosomal RNA". It matches the Rfam family "Bacterial small subunit ribosomal RNA", at positions 28 to 507 of the family's 1533-position model. The record is from RNAcentral.
GACGAACGCUGGCGGCGUGCUUAACACAUGCCAGUCGAACGGAAAGGCCCUGCUUGCGGGGUACUCGAGUGGCGAACGGGUGAGUAACACGUGGGUGAUCUGCCCUGCACUUCGGGAUAAGCUUGGGAAACUGGGUCUAAUACCGGAUAGGAGCCAUCUUUAGUGUGGUGGUUGGAAAGUUUUUUCGGUGUAGGAUGAGCUCGCGGCCUAUCAGCUUGUUGGUGGGGUAAUGGCCUACCAAGGCGGCGACGGGUAGCCGGCCUGAGAGGGUGUACGGCCACAUUGGGACUGAGAUACGGCCCAGACUCCUACGGGAGGCAGCAGUGGGGAAUAUUGCACAAUGGGCGCAAGCCUGAUGCAGCGACGCCGCGUGGGGGAUGAAGGCCUUCGGGUUGUAAACUCCUUUCGCUAGGGACGAAGCUUUUUUGUGACGGUACCUAGAUAAGAAGCACCGGCUAACUACGUG